This 68-nucleotide transfer RNA is filed under the name Salmostoma bacalia (large razorbelly minnow). RNAcentral describes it as "tRNA-Ala". It matches the Rfam family "tRNA". From Rfam's summary of the family: Transfer RNA (tRNA) molecules are approximately 80 nucleotides in length. Their secondary structure includes four short double-helical elements and three loops (D, anti-codon, and T loops). Lineage: Eukaryota; Metazoa; Chordata; Actinopteri; Cypriniformes; Danionidae. The record is from RNAcentral.
AGGGCCUUAGUUUAAUUAAAACAUUUGAUUUGCAAUCAUAAGAUGUGAAGUAACAUUUGCAGGCCCUA